AAAGUAUUCAAAUAAAAUUUUAUAAAUAUUUGCUUUUAAGCACACGCCGUUUAGAAGCAUAAGAAGCGUGCAAAUGAAAAUUCGGAAUCAGAAAUGAACAGUGCCUUGAUAUAUCACCUUGACCCUUCGUGGGAAAAAAAAACAACUCCCUUUGCUUCUGAAUAAAUUAUACGACACUAUUUAUUUUCAUACUUUGACCACUUGUCUCUCGUGUAACAUAUUUGCAAAUACUUAGUAAAAUGUCAUGAUGUUGAAGUGUUUAGUGUCCAUAAAUAUAAGCAAAAUUUAAUUAUUUAAGAGUAGCUAGUGGUCAAAGGCGAAGAAACUGAAACAUAUUGUCAGUUAGUCGAAAACAGUAUCCUUAUUGUGAAAUUCGCAGUAUAUAUCUCACGCAAUACUAUUUAAACAUUAAACUCAGAAACUACAGUAAGCCCAAAUCUGUGGUUUAAGUAAUCUUACACCCAAAAGCAAAACCUCAUAUCUUCCCGAUUGAAAAACACAAACUUCUCUAUUCAGAAGAAACCAUGAUUUUUCCAUUAGGUUUCACCGCUCGAGGAACAUUUCCCUUUCCUUUACCAAUAACCCAGAUCGUUUUUAAAUACUUCAGCACUAAGCACUAAACACACAUACUAGGUCCCAUGAUAGCAGCUCGAGAAGACGAGAAUCACUAUAUUUUUAUGGCAAAAGAAUCACUAUAUUAACCGUACUGAAAUCGUGAAAGCAACUUGGGCUAGUAGGAAAUAAUCUAAGCAACGGAAAAACGUGGGCCUAAUUAACCCAUAAGUCCAGCAAAUGGCGUACAAAAACCCUUCAGUCCCAUCAGCCCUUCUGCUGCUCAUCAUCUUCCACUUCUAAGAUUUCAAACAAAGAAAUCUCCAUCCGGGCCGGGGGACCAGCUGAGGAGGAGAGCCAUCCCCAUCCAUCCAUCAAUCUGCUCGCGCGGAUCCGGAAUUUGCGAGAGGAGGCAUGGUGAGUUUGCAGGGGGCGCGAGGGGGCGGCGGCGGCGGCGGCGGCUACGGGUGGAGGUGGGGGGAGAAGGCUGGCCUGGUCGUAUCCCUCCUAGACGACGCGCUCUUCCACGUCCUCUACGCCGCCGAGGCCGUCGUCCUCUCCGCCGCGCUCUGCAGCUUCUUCCUCUGCUGCGGCUGCAACAUCUGACGAGACCUGAUGGGUACCUGAUCUGCGUGCUCUUCUGCUUCGAUGCGGCGGCGGCCGGCGUCCUAGUCCGACCUGAAGCCUGGUGAAAGGGCGGCGCCUGUAUCAUCAUCUCCUCGCACAACUUCGCAUCGCAUGUAACCUUCUCGGCGUUGGCCGUCGCGUGGCCUGUUCAGUUCUGUUUGGCUUCUUGUUCUUUUGUGAGCCAAGCACGUUGCACCUGACCGGAGUGCUUGUUGCUGUUGCCUCUUUUCUUUUGCUCCUGGAGAAAAAUUUUUGUAUCGCGCUGUUCCCGUUCUGAAUUUUUGAUGUACUAGCAAUUAUAAGUUCUAAAUUUUCAAAUUCUGCAAGUGAUCUCAUAAUUUCCUGAAUUUUGUGCGAUUCUGCCGUGAGUUUCAGUGUAGCAUUCUAAUCGUAUUCCGUUGUGCAAUUGAUGUACUUGCAAAUUCCUGGUGUGCCUGACUAUGGUUAGAACUAAGAAAUCAUCUUCCCUCGUUUGUAUCGAAAGGAAAGAAACUAGGCUAUUUCAUGUGAUCUUUGCGCUAGAAUGCUUGUGACUUUUGAAUUUCGAUUAGAUAAUUCCCAGUAGGGUACAGUACUUAAGUAUGACUCGUUUCUUGCAGCAUUCGCUGGUGCACUCCUCGUCCGUUUUUUUCAUUUAUGGCCGGCGCAAUCCGCGCAAAGGCGAGAGCACGUAGCGCCCAGCUGAGCACAUGAUGUAUGCUGGCACUGGCACGUUGCUGCUGCUGCCAUCCAGAAGUAAAUGAAAGCAUGGAACGCCAAGGUCCAGCACAUGGACAUGGACAUGGACAUGGACAUGGAUAUGCCUGGCGCUGUGCACGAGGCAGAGGAGAAGAAGCGUGGAGGAGCGCGGGAGUGACGUGGUGUAUGUUGACCACGACUCCUCCAGAGAGAUGCCUAGGUGUCGCUGGAUGAGUGAGUGCUGAGUACGUUUUAGUUUAUGAUAUUUUUUUAUUUUGACCCAGUUUACAGAUAAAUACAGUAAUAUUUAUAUUUUUAAAUAAAUUUUAUUAAAUUAAUAGUUAGAUAUAUUUUUAUAAUAAAUUUAUCUUGGAUCGAAAAUAUUACUAUUUUUCUAUAAACAUUGUCAAACUUAAGAUCAAAACAUCUUAUACCUGAGAGAGAGGGAGUAGUAUUUUUUUAUUUUCUUUUUACUCCCUCCAUGUUAGACAUAAUUUAGUUUGUCAAAUAUUUAUUAUACUAAAUUAUGUUUAAUCUAGACCUAGAUUACUUAUUAUAUUUUGAGAUAGAGGGAGUAGCAUUUAGGGACUUUUUUUAAUAGGACCAAUGUUAAGUGAUCUCAACUUGAAAAUUGAUUUGCAUUCCAUAGAAUUCCUUCAUUGAAAAAUAUAAAUAUAUACGGGAUUCCAAUUAUAUACUAAAAUAUAAAUCUUUUUUUACUCCCUCCGUCCCAUUAUAAGUGCGGCCAUGAGUUUCCGUGCUCAACUUUGACUGUCCGUCUUAUUUAAAAAAAUUUAGAUUAGUAUUUUUAUCAUUAUUAGAUGACAAAACAUGAAUAGUAAUUUAUGCGUGACUUAUGUUUUUAAUUUUUUUAAAAAAAUUUUAAAUAAGAUAGACGAUCAAAGUUGGGCACAGAAAAUCAUGGCUGUACUUAAAAUGGGACGGAUGGAGUACCUACUUCCCUAUCUCAAUGUAUCAAUCGCAACUAUUUCUCAUCUUAACAGUAAUUUUCGAUAAAACAUAUAAAAAUAACUAUAUUUUGAAAUAGUGUUAGGUAAUUUUUGCAACACAAAAUACGUAUAUUUUUAGAUGGGUGAAAUAGGUUAAUUUUGCAAUACAACUAAUAGCUCCACGCAAUCUUGCGAGAGGCAACAUAAAUUACCAAAAACUAUCGAAACUAUCGGGAGUACGUGAGAAUACUUUGGGUUAUUUGGUUAGGGGUUGAAGUUUGCCAAGCCUUAGAUGUGGUGUGAUUUCUUAGGCUAGUUGCAUGACAAAGAUUAGACAAAAUCACUUUAUUAGCACAUGAGCCCAUACGUCAUAGCUAAAGAUUGCCAUGGUUGUGGAUAACAAAUUAUUUGGCACAUUUUUAUGUGACUUGUCAUACCUAUGGCAAAUGAAGUUAUAGCAAAGUUAGCCUCUAUCCCAACGUAGGCCCUUUAUUUGCCUUACUAUUGGUAAUUUAUCCAAACUAACCAUAUUAACUCCUCUUGGUGUUUUCAAGAAAAAGUACAUUGUUUUUACAUUUAAUAAAUAAGGGUGAUUAAUAAAUAAAAUAAACAAUGAUCAAAGCCAAUGCAUUUAUAAUGUUUCCAUGCUUUCCAUUUAAAUUGCAUAGUGAUACAUUCAAUAAAUAAACAGGUUUCAUAAAUUUGUUAGGUUGUUUUGGAAUUUGUUUUUUUCAAAAACAUGUUAAACAAACUAAAAAAAUACAUAUUUUCUACUUUUUAUUUCAUUUAGUAAUCUUGGAUUCUUUGAAGGAAUUUUAGGAGUAUUUAGGAAUUGUGAAUAACAAAUUAUUUAGUAAUCUUGGAUAUCUCCUUCCUCACUGAUUUGGAGCCCAAGCUCCAAAUCUUUGCUUCUGUUUUUCUUUAAUCCAAUAAUAUUACUACUCCAAUCGUUUCGUUUGUGAUAUAUUGACAAUGUAGACAUGUUACACGAAAAGGGGAUGAUGAAUUAUAUAGAUCAAUUCGAUCCAUGCCAUUGUAAAUAUAUCAUUUCAGAUAAAAUGCCAUUACAAUUUAUUUAUUUGUCGUCGUGCCAUUAAAAUUUUAUAAAAUUGGAACUGUCCCACUGUAGUUACAUCCAUCUUCCUCAUCUACACGUAAGACCAAUCCGUCAAAUUCAUCUUAUUCGUCCAUCCUCCCCUCUUCUUUUUCUCCCAUCUCUCUCCACUAUCUCUCAACCUCCCGACUAAUCCAUCUCGUCAUCUCCUCCCUCCUCAAUCGAGGCAGCGAGUAUGGAGGUCGGCGUGAGGUCAGAUGUGACGGGUUUUAUAAAUGGUGGGCCCAGUUGUCAGUAUCACAAACUUACAAAAUAAGUACUCCCUCCGUCCCAUAAUGUAAUUACCUAGGAUGGGUCAAUGUAUCUAAACAUGAGGCAUGUCUAUAUACAUUAUCCUAGGAUGAGUCUCAUCUCAUCCUUGUUGCUACAUAUUAGGAUGGAGGUAGUAUUAAACACUUUUUAUUAGUAGUCAUGGCCCAUAUGUCAUAGGGACAACUGAUUACUACCUCCGUCCCAAAAUAAUUGUAAUUCUAUGUUGUUUAUCAUAUAUUAAGGUUUGAGAAGAAAGACUAUGGUGCCCCUCAUUAAAUGGUGUUUAUGUGAGAGUGGGAAGAUGGUUAAGGGUAUAAUAGGGAGAAAUUUGAAUGAUAGAUGAUUGAUGGGGCAAUUAGUACUCUAAAAUUACAAUUAUUUUGGGACAAAGUUUGAAUCAUAGAAAUACAAUUAUUUUGGGACGGAGGUAGUAUUAGUUAACUUAACUACUUAUGUCCCAAAAAUAUAAGAACCUAUGAUUGGAUGAGACAUUUCCUAGUACAACAAAUCUAGACAGGCUAGAAAAUGUCCCAUUCGAUCAUAGAUUCUUAUAUUUUGGGAUGGAGAGUAUUCCAUUAGACUUAAUCAGAUUUUUCUCUUCUCUCGCGUGAGCACGGGGAGGCGCCAACCGGAGGGGGGGCGGCCGGCGAUGGGAUGCCCAGGGGAACCACGGCCACCGCUUGGGUGACGCCACGGUAGCUAGGGACAGGUGUGGAGGCGGUGGAGGUUGGGUGCGGCGGCGACGGUCUCCGGGAACUAGGCACACCGGCGAAGCCGAGGCCGACGACGGGGUCUAGGAGCGCCGGUGGGGCUCGCCGAAGUACACACGAAGGCGACCGGUGGCUGGGAUGGGUGGUGGAGGUGGGGCACGGGACGACAUGGGGAUGAUCUAGAGGAACAAAUUCAUCGUGGUUGAGGCGCAAAUGGCCGGGACGUUGCUCCGAGGAGCAUCACCGCCGCAAGAGAGAUGAUUGCCUUGCUUGGCAUGGUUGGGGAGGGCUGCUAGUGGUGCGGUCGGCGGCGGCCUCCGCACGGGCGCCGUGGGGCAGCAGAGCAGCUCGCGCGGCUCGGCGCGGAGCCGAGUAGGAGAAAAUUGGCAUAAUACCAUAUUACCAUCGUCAAAACUCAGGAUGGGAAUGGUUAAGGUGUAGGAUCAAGAAGGCCGACUAGAGGGGGGUGAAUAGGCGGUUUUUCAAACUUUUGGCUAAAACCGAGUUUUGUAUGCGGAAGCGUAAAUCAAAAUGGUUUUGCACAAUUCGAAACCUAAAUCAACUAGUCUCAAGUAAGUGCACAAAGAAGCUAGCCUAUGUUGAGGUUUGCAAGCCUAGGGUGAUAAUAGCACAAAGUAUGUAAACUUGCUCAAAGUAAAUUUGCACAAAAAAAGGAGACAAGAGACAAGGAAUUUUCACCGAGGUUCGGAAACUCGCCGGUUUCCUAAUCCCCGUUGAGGCGAGCCCAACUCCACCGCUCAACCACGAAACCACCGCACGCCCCCUUCGUCAAGGGGUGGGCAAGGCGGGAGCCGGCCCACGGAGAGAACUACCAAAGCCUCGAUCACUAGGGUAGUUCUUCCUUCACUCCGAAGGUGGUGAACUCCAAACCACUCACAACCGGCGCCGGGCCUCCUCCACAAUCUUCUCGGAGAGGUCACCGGGCAACACCUCUACAAGCCGUCUAAGAGGCGGCAACCUCUAAGAGUAACAAGUCUAGGAUGCUUGCCGAGGAUGAUCAAGUGCCACACUAGCUAUAACAAUGAAGCAAUGCACUUGGAUUGGCUUAACUCACUCUCUAACACCUUACUAGAUAAACUAAGUGCACAAGGGUGUGAGAGCUCUUGCAAGGGUUCAAGAUAAUGCAAUGGAGUGCCAAAACCUUGCCCUUGCUGCUGGAGAGUGGGUAUAUAUACCCCUAACCACCAAAACUAGCCGUUGGAGUCGAAAUCCCCAACUCUGUGCUCUGCCGGUCAGACCGGACUACUUUGUAACGGACUACUCAACCUGGUCGGUCUGACCGCAAUGAAGCGGCCGGUCAGACCGUCCACGGCUCGGUCAGACCGCCAUCGGCUCGGUCUGACCAGUUGCGGCUCUGGCGGCUCUGUAUCGCCACCAAAAACCAGACCAGUGCAACAGACCAAUAGGGCCGGUCAGACCGGCCUUACCACGCCGGUCAGACCGGCUAACAGCCCUGGUCAGACCGACCUAAGGCCCACGGUCAGACCGCAGGUCACUUUUCAGCACAACCAACCGUCAGUAAAACGACGAUAUCUUUUGACUCGGAUCUCGGAAUUUGGCGUUCUCGGACUCUAUGGAAAGCUUAUUCAAAGGGCUAUCCAACCCAUGAACAAUCAAUCCAAGAAACACAACUUUUCUCAGGGAGAAAUGGCUCACACUCCAAAGGAUACUCCACCGGACAUAACCACAUGAGGCUACUCAAACCUAUAGGAUGUGCCCACUUCUCUCUUUGUUUGGGACUUGAUAAAACUCACCACACUUGGCUAGACAAGCCCACAAAAUGCACCUAUAUGCAUAUGAACUAAUAUGGCACAAAAUCAUCUACAUGCUCGCUUCAUAGACCCCUCUUGAUAGUACGGCACCUAUCUAGUAAAUCCGGUCUACACCAAACACCAAGACCGGGAAAAAGACUAAGAAAACAUUCUUAGCUCCAUUAUACCUUAGCCUUGCGCCAUCCAACUUGGGGUCAAUGCUUGAGCCAACAUCAACACUUGUGACCAUUCGGUUGAACCAUGUUUAUGCCGAGGUCUUUGCCAUCCUUUGUCAAGACUUUAUUCUCAUCACAAGCUUGACUUUAUUCUUGCCAACAUGACGAUGUCCUUGGCUUGGUGACCAUUAACCCAUGGUGUCAUUCAUUAGCCUCAUCGCAAUUAGAUCUAUUCCUUUGCACGGUUCAAAGGAAAACAUUAGUCCCAACAAAUCGGUUGGCAUCCUCCACUUGGUGACCAACCGGUUGCAUAUGAAAGAUAUGGAUAUGUUUGUUGAGUAUUCAUUAACAUCAUAAGUGUCAUAUACUUGUAUGCAAGCUCAAGUGCAAAGAUCCGAUAUAUAUAAUAGGUGAACAACAUGGAUCUAAAACAUGCACAAUAAAUAUAUAGGAUUUGCUCCCCCUAAGUAUAUGCAUACAAAGAAAUAUACAAGAGAGACAAGUGUAUGCAUAAGUAAAGAAGAACCAAUGGGGGUUUAUCCUAUAUACAUAGAGAAGGCAUAUGUAGUAAUGAUGAAGAUAAACAAAAAAACACAUACCUUCAUGAUCUCCAUGUUCUCAAUGUAAAGGAGACUAAAUAAGAUAAGACUCAAGUAAACAUUAGUCUCACACUUAUAUAACAAUAACAUGGAAAUCAUAUAUAUGAACCUAUCAAAAAGUAGGAGAUAAGAAGUGAUACAUAUCGCUUUAUCUCCAUGAAUUUCAUCCUUGUCAUGAUUAAGGUCCAUCACCAAAGAAUGCAUAUCUACCACAUCUCAUUAUCGGGAAAUAACCUUGUUGAAAACUUAUGUAAAAGAGAGGUUAAUCCCAUAAACAUUUGUUUAUCAUCUAUCACCAAAGUAACAAUUACACAAAUUGUUUAAUCCAAGAUCUUUCAAUCUUUUCUCUCUUUUGUGAUAGAUAAUAAUCCGAUAUAAACAAUACAAAGAGAUGAUAUGAAAGAUAAUUUCAAAUCAAGGUAGAGAUCUUAUAAUGAACAAAAUAUAGAAUAAGCUCCCCUCAAGAUGUGCAUACAUAUGGAUAUGAAGGAAUGCAUAUGCACAUAAUCAAUCAAUAUCAAUGAGGGAGCUCACACUAUAUUUUGGAUCCACAAGAGAUACCAAGUUAGAAUAUGUGAAGUUUAAUACAUACCUCCCAUCAUUUUUACUUUCAUAUCCAAAUAAGACUAGUCAAAGAAAGGCUCAUAAAAACGUUAGUCUCAUAUAAUUAGAUUUGUCAUUAAUCACCAAAACCAAAUUAAGGCACUUAAACUUACAUAGGGUCGAUCCAUUUAUCUACUAAAACUAUCCGUAAAUUUGUCCUAAUGGAUUUUUUUGUCGCUCCAAAAAUAUAAAUGGAUCAAACCAUUAGAACCUAGGUUUAAGGGGUUCAACCCAAAAUAACUUUACAUGUAUAAAAUGAUUCAAAAAAUUGUACAAAGUUGCUUCUCUAUAUAAUAAUCCAUUCCUACAAAAUUCAACUAAAUUUACCAAGUUUUCAUAGUGUGAACGUGAGUUUAAAAAUUUUUGGUCCGAGUUUUACACACAUUAAAACUAGAAUUUUUGGGUCUUAGUAAUCAAUCGUGGGCCCCGCAUGUCUAAAUGGCUUAAAAUUUGAACAAAGUUGCUUCUCUAUAUAAUAAAUCAUUCCUACAAAAUUCAACUAAAUUUGAUAAGUUUUUUUAAAUGUGAAUGCGAGUUUAAAAUUUUUGGGUCCGAGUUUUACACACAUAUAAUGAAAUUUCCUUAGUAUUUUAGUAGUGCAUUGUGGGCCCCAUGUGUAUAACGGGCUCAAAAUUUACACAAAGUUGCUUCUCUGUGCAAUAAAUUAUCCCACCAAAAUUCGACUGAAAUCGAUAAGUUUUUAUAGUAUGAACACGAGUUUAAAAAUUUUGGGUCCGAGUUUUACAUAUACUAGAUGAAACCCCGCGCGUUGCUGCGGGAAAUUAAGGAUAAUACAGAUAUGUAGCAAGCAAGAUCAAGAACACAAUCACUGUAGUGUUUUCCAUAUGGUAUUUUGUCAAUUCAUGCAAAGAAUGUGCCAAUGUAUGUAUAAUGAACAAAUUUGAGCGAGCACUGACUGGAUCAAUGCGGUAGAGGAAUGAGCGGAUAAAAUUUCCUAACUAAUUAAAACACCAUGGGAUCAUCCAAGAUGCCUCAAGGAUGUAUUUGCACUGACAAUAAGUAAAUGCAUGUGCAUCCAGUUUAUCAAAGUUAAAGCCUACAAAAAACUUUUAAUAUCUUUUUAAGAUAAUAGCAAAUCAAAUGGAUUCAUGACAGGUUCUAUAACAGAACUUGGGCAAAACGUAAAUCAAAUAGCAAUCAGAAGAAUGGAAUGUAUCAGGACAUAUAUAAUGCCCAUGUUAACCUGAUUAUAAGCAUAAGCUAAAAUAUAUGCAUGAUGAGAACUUUUGUAACAACGUCAUCAGAUAUCUGUAGUCUCAUGAUCUAAACUUGUUUAAAUCCUGUGUAACAUAAAUUUGAACGAAAUAAUAACAAAAAAAACAUAGCCACUAUUCUAUACUAACUCGUAAUUGGAGUAAACACAAAUUCUGGAGUAAAAAGAGAGGCAAACUCAUAUCCAGGUCAGCACGAACAGGGCAGCUGCAACAAUACAGCGACCAAGCAGCAAACAACACAGGACGAAUGCAAAAGCUAAAAAUUAUUACAUAAAUGCUGAAAUUUUUUGGUAUACAUACCUCAGUUUUUAGAAGCCACAUCCAAUACGCUUGAAUGACUCCUAGCAGAGUUCAUAAAUUAACUCAAUUUUCAACAUUGUCAUGUGGAUGAAUGGGAACUAAAUGGAUUUCUUGACACUGUCAUCAAAUUGAAAGUGAAUAAAGUAUAGCGUGUAGUGUUAAAAAUAAAGCAAUAGCCCUGUAAAAAAUUUAGUCAAAGAGGAACUGAAAGAGGCUUAAGAGGGAAAUAAAUGGAAUUAAUCGCCGGUGAUGGACGGCUCAUUGUUGGUGAGUAAAUGCUUUUGCUCCUAGAGGGAGAUGAUCGGUAGCUCAACAGCCGAUUAGGAGAAGGGGAACAGAUCAAUUCUGGCUACUGAAAUCUGAAGGAGAUCAGCAUGGAGAGCGCAUAUCUGACUGCAGUAUUGUUUCCAAAUCGGUACUUUUGUGACUGACUGACAUAGUUCCUAUAUAUGUUGGCGUGAAGCUUGGAAGAAAACAUCAGUAAUAGAAAUAAAGAAAUACUAAAAAACAGAAGGCAUCAAUAUUCUUUUCUCCAAAUCUAUCAAAUUUAUGAACUAUUUUCUCCAAAUCUAUCAAAUUUAUGAACUAUUUUCUCCAAAUCUAUCAAAUUUAUGAACUAUUUCGUUUGGAUUUAAUUUGGAUACUGACGAACGCAUAUAUUAAAACCUUCAAAGAUCACAGCAAAACAAAUGCCAUCGCAAGAGGCAAAGACGUGAUUUUGACAUAUAUGCAUACCUUCAAUUUGCUAUCUCAAAGAAGUUAUGUAAACCAUUCAGUUGGGAAUUGUGAAUUGCUUAAGGAAUUUAUCUCUGCAAGAUAAAUACUCCCUCUGUUUUACAAUUUAAGUCAUUCUAGCAUUUCCCACAUUCAUAUUGAUGCUAAUAAAUCUAGACAUAUAUAUUUAUCUAGAUUCAUUAACAUCAAUAUGAAUGUGGAAAAUGUUAGAAUGACUUACAUUGUGAAACGGAGGAAGUAGGAAUUAACCAAAUGAUUAUAAUCCUCACCAUAUAUGUAAGAACGAAGAAACAACUCACAGAAUUGUAUACUGAUAAUUUCUAAUCUCAUAUGCUGGAGCAAAAAGGUAAUGUAAAAUUAGCGGGACCUAGAAUGGUAGUAUUAGUUAGGCUUGUAAUAUAUUUUAGAAAACGAUUAAAGAACUGGAACCAUGGGGCGGUUGAGCUCGAGAACCAUGUGGGAUAGCGACGACGGCCUUGACGCCGGCCUGGAGGAGGCGCUUGGUGAGGUUCCCCGUGCCGGGCCGAUCUCGAGGACGGUGUCGGUGGGCUUGAGGCCGGCCUUCUCAACGAUGGAGUCCACCAGCGACGGGUUCCGCAGGACCCCUUGGACUUGUCGAACGGGAUCCCUCCCUGCAGCCGUGCGCCAUCACCCCCGCCUCCUCCUCCUCCUCCUCCUCCUCCUCCUCCUCCUCCGCCGCCGCCGCCGUGCCGCUUCUUCUGGAUCUUCCCGCCCGCCAUGGCGAUGGGCUCGCACGUCCAGCCGCCGCCGCUGGAAGAAUUGGGAGAGGCCGGAGGCAGCUCCGCGGCAUGGCUGGCGCGUGGGGGAUGGGGGAAGGCGGGAGGCAGUGCGACGCGGGGAGGAGAAGCGAGUGCGCCGGCUGGCGGGACAGCGGCGCAGCUGGCGCGCGCGCGCGAGGGAGAAGGAGAAGCGAGGUGGGCCCGCGGCGCAUCUCUCUCGCACGCGCAUGGGGGCAGAGGAGAAGCGAGCGCAGCGGCAGCGGGGGAGGGGAAGGAGCGCUUCAUGGCGCAUCUCUCUCUCGCGCGCUCGGGUGCAGAGCAGAAGCGAGCGCGGGCCCGCGCCGCAGCUCGCGCGGCGCUGUGCGGGACGGAGAAGGAGCGCGGGGCAGGAGAAGUGAGUGCGACCGCAUCUGGCGGCGGCAUCGGUAGGGCGGAUGGGAACUAAAUGGAUUUCUUGACACUGUCAUCAAAUUGAAAGUGAAUAAAGUAUAGUGUGUAGUGUUAAAAAUAAAGCAAUAGCCCUGUAAAAAUUUUAGUCAAAGAGGAACUGAAAGAGGCUUAAGAGGGAAAUAAAUGGAAUUAAUCGCCGGUGAUGGACGGCUCAUUGUUGGUGAGUAAAUGUGUCAGGGUUAUGGAUACCACAUACCUAAUAGUAGUUGACUAAAUCUCGGCAGGACCCACCACAUACCAUGUCCUAUACGGAAACAACCUGCGGAUAUAGGAGGAGUUCCGGAUAAGGAAAGACAACCAGAGUUUUAUAUGGAAACGACAAGGACUACUCGGAUUGUAUCUAUAUUGGUUUUCCUAGUUCUACUUAGACAAGGGGACACUUAUGGGUAUAAAUACAAGGCCCCCUAGGAGGAGAGGGGAUACAGACAACAUAGACGCCACAAAGCCACGAGCCAAUACAAGCCAACAUACGUCAAGAUAAGACGUCAGAUAUCGACAUCAGAGAUAUGCCUAGAUCGACCCUAUCCGGUAACUACAGAGGCCAGCCGUAGGGAUCUAGUGCUGUCUUUGAUCUCGCCGGGCAUGAACUCGAGGAGGAAGACUACCCUGUUGUCGACUACGAGUCAAACCUUCAGACCGCCAUGUCGACAACAGUUAGAUAGGCUAUCCCAAAUAUUGUACUGGUGUGAUUAUGGUGAAUAAGAGCAAUACCGGCUUUGGCCAACAGGAUGUAGGGUUAUUGCCUGACAAUUCAGGGGCCCGAACCUAUAUAAAAAUCCCUGUGUCCGUCUCUUUUACCUCAGUCCCGCGUAUAUCCUAGUACCAACGAUCCCCAUACUAUGCAAAUACCGGAAUCGUGACAUCAAACGUCGACAGUGGCGCACCAGGUAGGGAGAUUUUGGUGCUUCUGGAUUUUGACGAGAUGGGUUUAAGAUAUGGAUUCUCCAAGCUACUCGACGACUUCGGCUGUGGAGAUCUAACCCGACCAGAGUACAUGCUCCGAUGAGAUCGGAACUAUCGUCGUCAUCGACAACUUGGUCUAUCGAGAUCAUCCAAGCCUCAAGCUUCGCAGCGUACCAAAAGAUGUUAGAUCGUAUGAUGUCGAACGAGUGCGCAACAAGGUAAUUGGUAGAUUGGUUUUUUAAAUUAAUCUACUAAUUUCAUAGAUACAUCCGACAUGUAUUUACAAAGGUACGCAAUAUUUUAUAUGCAAUUUACCGUACCUAUUUUCAGAUAUUUUCAAUCAAUAAUUUAUUAUGUUUAUCUAGAGCAUGUUUUUUAUACAAUAUCUGUCGUGCGAGUGUUCCCGAUGUUAGGCCGACUACAGUCUAACGCUGGGAGCUCGCCCUAUUUUCUUCCGUAUAAAUCAUGCUUGUUUACGGUUUACAUAAUGCCUGAUAUUUACAUCUGCUCGCUAUAUCCUGAUAAUACUAGAAGAUCCAUACAGUUUUUCAAAUACAUACUCGAUAUUCUCUGCUAUAUGUCUUACCUUCUAGAAAAUAUUUUUCAGGAACCAUUGAGCACUCGAGUAGGUUGUGGUCAAGUACACCGUAUUGUCGAGAACGAUCUCGACAAAUGCAGAGUCGUCGCACCUAACCUACCAACGAAGACCGAUGACCUAUCUCAUAGCACCGGCCAUGGCUGGACUACUCGAGAAAAGGUUGUUAACGGAUAACUCCUCGCGAACGCCGUCGGCUUGAUCACCCGACAUGAUUGCGAACGGACAUCUGGAUAUGCUAUAAGUUGGGUGCGUGAGUCAUGCUGGCUACAUGAGAUGCACAUGUAAUAAACCAACUCUAGCACUUCAAUUGGUGUCCGAGAGAUAACUCUACACGUUCACUGGUCCUCGAACCAGUACGUAGCAAUCUCUCGCACCGCAACUUCCAUUGGUGUUCGAGAGAUAAUUCUACUCGUUCGCUGGUUUCCGAACCAGUACGUAGCAAUCUCUCGCACCGCAAACUUCCAUUGGUGUUUGAGAGAUAAUUCUACUCGCUCGCUGGUUCUCAAACCAGUAUGUAGCAAUCUCUCGCACCGCAACUUCCAUUGGUGUCCAAGAGAUAAUUCUACUCGCUCGCUGGUUUUCGAACCAGUACGUAGCAAUCUCUCGCACCGCAACCUCCACUGGUGUUCGAGAGAUGAUUCUACUCGCUCGCUGGUUCUCGAACCAGUACGUAGCAAUCUCCUGCACCGCAACAUCCAUUGGUGUUCGAGAGAUAAUUCUACUCGUUCACUGGUCCUCGAACCAGUACGUAGCAAUCUCUCGCACCGCAACCUCAGAUGGUCGAGGUACGACUGCAGCAAUAACGCAGCGGUCCUUGUACUACGACUUCAAAUGAUCGAGAGACACCUACUCACUGGUCCUCAACCAGUCAAUUGUAGCGAUCUCUCGUACAUUUACUUCUAGUGGUUGAGUUACGACUACUACCUGGUUCUUGACCAGAGGUGUAGCGAUUCUCCUAUUACCUCUACUUCAACAAAGUUGAUAUCAGGUACACAAUAUCGCCAAGUGUUUUACCUAGAGAUCCCUUACCACAAAAGAUACCUAGCGUUGAAACCUAUCCUAAUGUCCCUUUAUGCCGUCUUGACAAGGCCUCUGAGGAACCUAAGGGAACUUCGGCUGGGGACGCCCAGAGCAGAUAAGGCCUUGUCGGAUCCUUCAGAGACGAAAGACCAUGUAAGAUCUGGUCGUGUAAGAGUUCUCGCCGUGCGUAUUAACCAAGUCGUGUAAUCGGAAAUGGAUUUUCCAACUUCACGGCUGGGGGCUAGGAUUAGUGCUUGUUUAACCGAGGCAUGUCAAAGGUCCAAGAGCCUUAUCUUCCGAGAAUGAUUCUCCGACGACAAGGCUGGGGGCUAGGGAGAGUGUAUAACUCAACAAACUGACUGAUCGAAGUCAGUAAAAGAGUAGAUGCUCAUAUACAAAACAUUGGUCUGUAUGUUUAAUUCAUUUUCAGUUUUCCAUACAUUCUAUAACAUGUUACCCUUUGAGCGUUCGCUCGGGGGCUAUUUCUAUCUAAUAUUCUUUUCUGACUAUUGAUUUCAGGAAAAUUCUAUUCGACAUUAUCGAAGGUUCCAUGUCUCUAUGGUUCUACACCAAGUUCGACUAAGGCGAGUACGACAAAUGUUGACAAGGCUCCGUCGCAGACUCUGCGCCUUCUCGAUUACUCGAGAACGGUUGGUGGAUAUCGACAAGGAAUGCGGAAUGAAGAGAUGGUGUACCCGCCGAGAUAAAAUUUCUUGACUUCAAUCCAAAUUCUCGAUUACAGCAAGACGGAAGACUUAGUCGUAUGCUCUGUACUUUCUUGGUUGACGUCGGAGAUUAACUCAGACAAACCCUUUAGGUGCCCGCACGAGGCUGAUAAAGGGAGUCUAACGUUAUCUCUGAUAAAGGAGCGCGGGGGCAGGAGAAGGGAGCGCGACCGCAUCUGGCGGCGGCAUCGGUAGGGCGGAUGGCGAUAAAAGAGAAGUGGGCUGGGAUUGAAGCGUUACCAAGAGUCCAGAUUAGAUUCAAUGGCUGAGAUUUACAGGUGACGUGGCUCAACCACAAUUCAGCUUUAGGUCUUAACUAUAUAGAAAGAAGGGAUGUGAUAAGAGUUUUUUUUUCUACUAGUAAUGUAGCCGAUCCAUUUGGAUAUCUAUGGAUAACCUAGUGAUAUAAUGGACUCAUGAUGGAUUGACCCUAUUAAACCAUGGAUCAACAAACUCACUUAAAACUGUUUGGUUCAAUCCAUAUCCUAACCAUUCCCAUCCUGAGUCAAAACAGGUUUUAACUAAAUACCACUAUGCAGUUCGGAUUCGCUGAAAUACCAUUCUCAAUUGAGGGGCUUCGCCGAAACACCAUUUUCUUCCAAUUCUCUCUUUCCUCUCAUCUUUGUUGACCAAAAUGCCCCUAAUUGAAUUAAUUCAAGUAAAACAAAUAUGUAGAUUACAGAGUAUAUAUCACCUAAAUAUCUUGACAUGCAAUAUAUAUAUAUAUAUAUAUAUAUAUAUAUAUAUAUAUAUUCUUUUCUUUACACUAAAUUAUAGAGUAUAAGACACUAUCUUUACAUCAUAAAUAAAAAUAAUUUUUAUAUCAUUGAAAACAUUGUGAGUUUUUGAGAUAGUACGUUGCAUACUAUGUAAUCUGGUGUAGAGAAAAAAAAAAUAACAUGUAAAACUAUUUUUGGCGUAUUUACUUUAUAAUCUACGUAUUUUUAUAUACUUAUAUUGAUUCAACUAGGAGCAUUUUGGUUAAUAAUGAUGAGAGUAAAGAGAUAAUUGGAAGAAAAUGGUAUAUGGGCAGAGCCCCUUAAUUGAGAAUGGUAUUUCGGUCAAUCCCAGCUGUAUAGUGGUAUUUGGGCGAAUACCUUUUUACGAUGGUAAAAUGUCAAUUUUCUCGCGCUGGAGCGUGGCCGUGCCCAGGCGAAAGUCCUAAUGAGCGAUUGAUCGCUGGCGGCGAUCGUUUUUUUAUUUUCCUCUUUUAUUAAGUUUAUACGCCUAAAGUUUACACAUCUAAAGUUUAUCCAUCUAAAGUUUGUACAGCGAAUGUUUAUAAGUCAAAAGUUUAUAUACCCAAUUCAAAUUUGAAUUUGAAUUCAAAUAUUUUUUUUAUAUAUAGUAUUUCUAUACAUCUAAAGUUUAUACACCUAAAGUUUAUAGACACAAAGUUUAUAAGUCAAAAGUUUAUGUACCCGAUUCAAAUUUGAAUUUGAAUUCAAAUAUUUUAUAUAUAUAGUAUUUCUAUACAUCUAAAGUUGAUACACCUAAAGUUUAUAGACCCAAAGUUUAUAAGUCAAAAGUUUACAUACCCGAUUCAAAUUUGAAUUUGAAUUCAAAUAUUAGUUUAUAGACCCAAAGUUUAUAAGUCAAAAGUUUACAUACCCAUUUUAAAUUUGAAUUUGAAUUAAAAUUUUUUUAUAUAUUUCUAUACAUAAUUUUUUCCAACUUUGUUUUUUAUAUAUUUUUUAGAGUAAAUUUCACAAAACUACAUGUUUUGUGGUUCAAGUUGUAGAAAACCACACACAUUUUGACACUUGGUACUUAAAGUACAUAUAUUUUGGUUAUGUAGUUUCACAAAACUACACUAUCGAUGUAUAGAUUCACCCGCGAGAUGAUGUGGCUGUUUCACCUAGGACGAGGACAUGACAUUCUAUUAUCAGCCAUCGCACGAAAUUAAUAUGAUACCACGUCCUCAGACUAGAUGAAACAACCACAUAAUAUCACGGGUGAAACUAUUCAUCGAUAGUGUGGUUUUGUAAAACUAAACUACCAAAAUAUAUGUACUUAAGUGCCAAGUGUUAAUAUAUGUGUGAUUUUCUAUAACUUAAACCAUAAAAUAUUUAGUUUUGUGAAAUUUCCUCUUUUUUUUAAUUUAUGGUCUAGUAGGAAGAGAAGACGCGGGGGGAUGGGGAUAAGCGUUCAUUAGCCGCGUCCCCGUGCCCAGGCGCAGGUGAACGCGAGCGGGGGGCGAGCGUAGCGGCACGCCGUUUUCGGCGGCGCUGCUCAACCAGAAAAAGCGGCGCAGGAGGGAGAGGAUACGGCGGUCGUGCGAGAAGCCCCGUGCAUCGGAUAUUCCGAUGCGGCGACGGUUUCCGCUUGGGAGUCGGACUCGCGCUUCGCGCCGGCCAUAAGUACGGGAUCGCUGAAUCCCUUGGAUCGUUACCUCAUUCCAAUCUGUUGCGCGCACGAUGCCACCGUUGCGCCAAGGACGAGCACGCGCCGCCGCCGCCGCCCGUCCCUCGCCGUACCGCGGAGGCUGGCUGUCACGGCGAUGCCGGAGUAGCGGGGCCGACACGGCGGAGUACGACGCCAACGGGACGUCUCUCACGGACGACGCGCUCGCGGCCACUUUCACCCGGCUGCCGAACGCGGCCGACGUAGUCCGCUGCGCCGCGACGUGCAGGCGGUGGGCCAGCGUGGUGGCCAAGGAGGCCAACGCUCUGUCACGAGCGCUUCCGCUUCUCCCCGGCCGGGCCCUCGGCUUUUUCCACAAGGAGCAGGACGCCGCCGCCGUGGCCACCACGCGCAAGCGGAAACGCCGGGCCAUCAUCGUCGACUACUCGACGCCCCCGUGCUUCGUCCCGACGGCGUUCGGCUCUCGCCUCCUCGGCUACAACCUCCCCUCCGCCAGCGCGCUGCCGUUAGGCGUCCAGACCGACGCCCUUGGCCUCCUGGAUCUAUCACUCUCACGCCCAGUGGCCUCCCGCAACGGACGCCUCGUUCUCGAGCUCCAGAGCGAGGAGCAUGUCAACGACGGCAAGCUCAACCUGUGCGUCUGCAACCCCAUGACGGGGGACGUGGCCGUGCUGCCGCCUCUGUCUGGCAAAGACAGGCCCAGGAUGUACGCAUGCACAUUGCUCACCGACGCCGACAUCGACCAACCGCCGCCGUCCGCCAACUUCUUCCGCGUGCUCAUCGUCUACAACCGUGACAGGUUUACCGCGUUCCGUUCCUACUCAUCAGACACCGGCAGCUGGAGCAUGGAGGCGAAGAAGACGCCAGGCCCCAAGCUCACAAACUGGGACCUUGGCAAGCUAGGCCACGGCAUCGUGCUCCACGCCGUCGCCUACUGGCCGCUGCGAAGAACGACACUAGCAGUCUAGCAGUACGCCUCGAGUCCUCGACACGCCGCAGCCGACACAGGUGCGCAUGCCGCUAGACGGCAUUAUCAGCACGAUUCAGCAGUUUCGUCUGCUUGGUGUCACACCUGAACGGAAGCUGUGCUUCAUCGACGCAGCGAAUUCCUCAGGAUAUGUCGGUUUGGCAUCAAUGGUCUUUGAGACCACCGGAGAUGACAUGUGUGGUGGUGCCGGAGAAUGGGUGAGGAAAGGUGGCAUCGGACAAUUGCGCCGCCAGUUCAAGAUUAAGAGUGCGGAUGCCAGUAAACUGCGGUGGUUCUGCGAGAAGAGUUGCACCCUCUUGUUCACCCUCGGCAAAGGAAGCAGUCCCUGGACCUUUGCGCUUAACCUCGGAACAAAGAAAAUCGAGAAGUUGACUACCGGUGUCGACUGCAAUUGGUGGAGAAACUUUGUGGGAUAUGAGAUGGAUGCUGCAGCUUACCUCAUGUCCAUAGCAAGACGCUGAUCAUUCCCUUUCAUGCUUUGGCACGGUUCUGAAAAUGUGAGCACAAGCGAAUGAGUGAUCUACUGAUCUAGUUGUGGCAUUUGUGGGCGCAUUACUCUGGCUGUGUUUAGUUCCAUGCCAAAAUUGAAAGUUUGAAGAGAUUAGAACGAUGCGAUGGAAAAGUUAAAAAUUUGUGUGUAGGAAAGUUUGAUGUGACGGAAAAGUUAAAAGUUUGAAUAAAAAGGUUGGAAUCUAAACAGGGCCUCUGUCCAUUUUUCUUACAAAUUAUGGUUCCCUUAAAAUUAGGGAUUUACGGUUGGCCUCCAUCUCUCUAACGGUGUGAUAAGGGAUGCACUUGAGCCAUUAUGUGCAUAAUAAUAAUAAUAAUAAUAAUAAUAAUAAUAAUAAUAAUAAUAAUAAUAAUAAUAAUAAUAAUAAUAAUAAUGAAAAAUUAGCCAGUUGGAAGCCAAAAUUGAUAUGUCAUGUUGGGCGUUUUUUUUUUCACAAACUAAAUUGAUAGCGUCCGUGAGUCAAAUGUGGAGAUCUUGAAGGGACAAUUCGAGUGAUUUGUUGUGAUGAAUGCUAAAAGCCCGAGCAACAUAUGUAUGACCACUUUAGCAAGAUAGUCAAUGACAUCAAGAGCCUUAGAUCAAAUUCAAUAUUUCUUUAAAUAAUUUUAUACCACUUUAGCCUAUCAAAUUCAACUACCAAUCUCAGCAAAAUAUCCCAGUGCAAUGCGUGGGGUUUCAUCUAGUUUACUCUAAUGUUUCAUCCAAACAAAAAAAAAAGUCGAUUUAAGUCGUGACCAAAGAAAAUAUCUAGUGGUGUACUAGCGUAAAGCCCUCGCAAUCCCCUCCCCGUCUAUCCAUGCUCUAUCCCCUCCCCGUCUAUCCAUGCUCCCGCUCCACUUGCGCCCCACACACAACCACACUCCUUGUCUUCUAAUUGUUAGGCCAAUUGUCAAUAGCCUAUAAACAACCUAUAAGUACUAAGGUCGAUCAGAUUGCUUUUCUUACAAGGACGACGCUAACAAUAACAUCCUAUAUAAUAGGAGUAUGGAUAAUUCAACAUAAAUAGAAAAAAGUUCCAGAUAUACAUAUACUGCAUAAUAAAAAUAGUUUAAUGAAAAACUAAUCCUAUCUAUCUAGAAAUUUAAACAAAAUAGACACAAUAAAAAUAGUCUAUCCUAUACUUUCUCCGUUUCAAAAUAAAAUCGAACAAACUUCAUAUGGUACUCCGAGUUUUUUCAACAUUGUAGUACAUCUACAUCGAACAAACGUAAGCCCCCUGGGUGUACGCCAACGUAAGCUUACUGUUGUACCGACGGUGAACGUGAAUCCAGCCCAUCAAUCCGGUAUUCCGGGCCCUUCGUGUUCGCAUAUUCACGGUUUACACGCCCCCAUCCUCACGUGGGGAUCCCCCCGCGCAUCACCAUGGACCACACUUCAUACGCACGCAGCCACGCACCCCGGCACCACACCACGACUAGAAACCGAGGCCACCACGACUAAAAAACCGAGGUCUCGGGGCGCUUUCCAAUCCAACAGGCGCGGCCUCCUCCAGUCAAUUCCUCCCUGACCCUCCUCCGGCCGCCUCCGCCUCCGCCUCCGCUCCCGCCUGCUGCUCCGGCCUCCGCACCAAACCCUAGCCCUGGGCCAUCCCCUGCCCGCCGCGAGAUGCGCCGCCGCCCUCUGGCCCCCUGAUCCUCACCCUCCUCCUCCUCCUCCUCCUCCUCCUCUCUCUCCUCCUUCGCCGCCGCUCGUCGUUGCCCGGGCGUAUGGGCCGCCACGGCAUGUCCCGCGGCGCCGCGGCCGGAGACGGCGGGGGAUGCCUGCCGAUGCCUGUUAUCUCGGCGGAGGUCGCGCUCGCUGUCAUCGACGCUUCCAUUUCAGUCGCCGCCUUCGUGCAGGUGCGUGUGUGGGGGCAAUUCGAUCUGGUUAUCUCGUGGUGGUGCUCUGUCCGCGACUGAUGGCGGGGGCAGGGAGUGGGGAGACGGGCAUGUCAUGCGCGUUGGCGGUAGUGUGCUAGCGGGACGGGGAAUGGGGGAGUGCCAGAUUUUGGAAUGAUAAUUUUGCUCUUUACGAGAAUUAGAUAUCAGUCAGCCACAUAAAUUGUCAUGUGCUAUUCACCUAGGGAUUCCUGCAAGGUUAUUGCACUCUGGUAUUGCUAUAAUGUUACUAUUUGGUGAUGUUUUGGUCACAGUGGAACGAUGUUUUGGUCAUAGUGGAGCAAUGUGUAGCAUAGUUAUGUAGUGCACUUAUAUUACUCGGUGAAUUAUGUAGUAGUUGUCAUUACUCAUUACCAAUGAGCUCUGUUGCAAAUUGACCUAAAUCCUUUACUUAAUCUGAUCUCUUAAAUCCGUUUACUCGGUAUUAAGCACUUCCAAUUUUGCAGCUAGCAAGAAUCCACAGGCAUGAUCAGCAGCAUGGAUGGACUCGGCAAAAGGUAUGCACAAUUCCUAUUUGUGCUAUUUUUCAUGUUGUCCAACUGUCUGAUAUGUUGUUUUGCAAUGAGUUCAUAUGCUUGCACUAAAUAAUAUCUCUAUUGUUAUCAUGGAUAAAUACUUAAUUGGCUGAUGCUCUAGCUAUGUGGUUAGGUCCAUAUGUUUUUAUCUCUGGUUGGAAGCUUUUGCUUACCUCUAUAUCUAGUGGCUAGUCACUUACAUUGACAGUUUGGAGGCUAAAAAAUAACCAGGCGCAAAACCUCCUUAUCCUGUUUUUUUUUUUUUUUUUUUUUUUUUUUUUUUUUUUUGGAUAUCUCAAGCUUCAUACUAGGCUUCCUCAUCUACUCUAUAAUACUUUUCUUAUAGUUAAUACGGGAGUAGAUUGUCUUCAUCCUUCAGUUAUCUUUCUACACUUUAGUAAUUUAGAUUACUAAUGGUACUAUUUGUGGCAUACCACUUUAUAUCAUGUUCAGUAUGCAUUUAUUUAGUUUGUCUGAUUCCAAGGUUCGGAUGAAUUGCAAUAUAGUCUUUGUUUAUAUAAUUAUAUUUACAAAUGUUAACCCCCAAAAGUUAUUUCAUUUAUGCAUACCUUUAAUGAUGUGUAAUCAUGUGACCUUCUCAUGAAUGAAACAUAACUAUAGAUUAUCAAAACAACAAUGUGUUUUAUAGUCUAUCUAUUUGACAGAAGUAGCAAGUUUCCUUGGUAUGGGACAUUUUACUUCAAUACGUGGGCUGUAGGGUUUUCGAAUGAGAGCUCAAGAGUAGGAUAUUAAAUAAUGCUAAUUAGUGCCUCACUUUUUUUUUCCCUCUGUGCUGUGAGCUCAGCUGCCAGAUUUUUAAUGUUAUAUGCCUACGUUCUUGCAGAUAUUCCAUUUUAUGAUUGGCCUAUGCAACUUAGGUGAGAUCUGUAUUGCUAUGAUAAUACCUUUUUCCCUUUAUUUUGCUUGAGGUUUCUUUAUUAUUUUUUGUGCACUGGAAAUUUCUGCAUAAUGUAGUCAGUAGUUAAUGACUGUCUUAAUUGUUCUGAAUGGUUCCUGCUAUCCAUGUUUUAAACUUUUAACUAAUGGCAAUUGGAAAAUGUUACAAUUCAAGUUUUUGAGCGAGCUUCCUCUUUUAUGAUGCUGGAAUGCAACCACUAUGACAUUGAGGAACCAUGUGCACAAGGAAUAGUUGAACUAUUUAUAUUCUGGUUUUGAAGCUUUGAUUAAGAAAUAGAAAAUAGAUCUCAUUUUUGUUUGCAAUUUUUCUAUUACGGACAUGCUAGUUCUCUCCUUAAAUAGGUCCAAUUUACACCAAAUGACAUGACUGCUGAUCACUUGUCUUAAUUUGUGCACAAUUAAUGAAUCAAAUAUACUGAUGUUUAACUUUAUAAGAAGAAAAAUGUUGUUACUUCACUAACAGCUUCUCAGGUUGACUAGUUUCUAAAUAAAGUAUUUGUAUUAUCUCUACUAGUGAAUCAGGUCAAUCAUGUGUACUUUCAUUAUCCAUUCCUUUGACAGUAUUCCUUGCAUAUUUUAUGAUUACCAACAUUUUACUAACUCUGAUUUUUAUUUUCCCAAUCCUAUGGCAGUAUUCCUUGUGUAUUUCGUGUCUACCAUCAUCGCUACCUGUGAGAGAUGGCUUUGUUGGGUCCAUGGAUGUGGAUUUGUACUCAUGGGUAUAUUUUACUGGAUAUAUAGCUUUGCUGUUGUCCUUUUGUUUUUUUCCCUGCUUAUCUACAUGACCUUUUAUUGUAUGCUAUUUUUCUGACCAGACCUAAUAGUUGUGCAUUCUCAAUAUUUUGCAGCUAGUCCACAGAUAUUGCUUCUUGCUUCUUUUCUGUUGCUGUUGUCAUUCUGGUGAGUCGGCACUUGUUUCUUACAAUGCAUUUCUCAUGUAGCUUUGCUAAUAAUUUUGAGAGUAAUAAAGAUUUGUUUGGAAUUCCCGUUCUUGUUUACUAUGUCUCUGUUUCAUAUAUCCACUUGAAAGAAUUGUCACUUGACGAACAUAUCCAGUUUUUUUAUUGGACUACACCAAUUCUUAUUUCUUAGUUAUCUAAUCUAGACCAAGUAAAUAUCCUCUACAACUACAGCAUAGGCUAUGUCAAUAUGUCAUGCAUGAUGACCAGUCAAACCAUCUGAGCAUAAAAGGAAAACAACAUUCCUAAUUGAUGCUUGAUUAGAAAACUGAUGGAUCUUCUCAUUAUAAUUUCUUUGGACUUCAAUAAUUUUAAAUCAUCUUACUGACUUACUGUCUGGGUAACCCUGUUAAGAUUGACCUCUUAUAAUCAAUACAAGAUGGCCACAUGACACUAUUAGUCUAUUACUCGUUAGCAUAUAAUCUCUGAUACAUGCCGCAUUACUCACCUCUUUUUCGUGGUUAUGGACAUUAUCCAGUUGAUUGGAUGACCAUAUGACGACCACGAUUGAUUGGUAUGAUCACCAUAUGAUUUAUUAUUGAUGGCGAUCUAUGCUUGCAAUCUCAGUGUGAUAAGAGAAUGUUCUUUUGCUCAAAGUGGUAUUAUGCGAAAAGGCUUCUCCAUGUAUGGACUUAUUGGAGAUAAGCCCUACCCCUCAAUGAGGUUUGGGUUUUACACUUUUCCUUUUACUUUUGCUCACUUCACCAUGGUGAUAGGGUACAUGGAAGGUGAUCACGUAACCCACAUAUUGCUCCCCAGUCUGAGUUAGGGUCUUUCUAUGCCAACAAGCAUCCAAUGGGGCCUAAUAACAGUCUUCCAAAUCAUGAAGGGGCAAGGGAAGAGUGUUUUUCAUUACUGUAGAAGACUUUGUUUCCCUUUCUUCAUACACCUGGUUUGUGCACUCCUUGUCGUUGUAUAGGCAAAAGACAUACUAGUACUGCCUUUAGCUCAGUUCUAAGCUGUAACAUGUCUUGUAGCACUUGCCACAACGGUUGCACUUGAGGUAUCUAACCACAAAUCGUUGGUGGGGUGCAUCAGAAAUAGUAAGGUCUCAUCUUGAGGACCAAACCUGUAUAAGUUCAGUGUUAUGCAUUGGUUUACCACGCGACGUUUGAGAGGAUUGCAUUAGAGAUGUUAGGGUGAAACAAAAAGGGGGAAGAUGAUGGUCAUGAUUUAACGAUUUCUAUGAGAUAACAUAUGCCAUGAACCUUGUAUUGUCAAUUUUUUGCUUUCUCAUGAAUCAUGUUAUUAUUAUGCAUAUGUUUUUCUGCCUUCUUUUUCCUUUUCAUAGUUGCUUUUUUCACUCUAUAUUUCUCUAAAAUAAUGGUCUUACAGGGUUGACCUGUGUCACCAGACAAACGAUGAAGAUGAAGAGGAUACGAGGAGUCACCAUGAGGCUUUACUGGAUAGAACAAAAAAUAAACCUGGCAUCCGUGCUGUUGAUGUUCGCCGGAGGUGUUGCCCAGGAGUACAGCUUGGAAGCCGGCAAAAAUUUGUGAUUUUGGUAAUCUUUUUAGUUGGCAUAUUCCUUGCUCAUGCACAUAAUACACAUUCCUUUAUGACACUUUCUUUUAUUUAGACUGUACUGCUUGAGAAUGAUUUGUUUGAUUAACUUUAAUCAUGUAGUGCACCUACCAUCAUAUAGUAUUUGUGAAAAUAGAACUAACAACUGACCUAAUAUUUAUUUCCCAUACAGGUGCUUCUACUGUCAUUUGUUGUUACAAUCGCCUUCGCCAUCCUCAUCUGGAUUGGUAGAGGAGAAAAUCCUAUUGAUUCAUCUCUAUUGAAAAGGGUAUGAUGGAUUAGAAAUUCUUUAUGUUUUUAUGUGCUGCAUUUCCUAUGAUAUAUCAACUUAUUUUUUAUCAAUAUAAUAGCAUUGAUGUGUUGCAAGUGCUGGAAGACAGCCUUUGUAUUACUAUAAACUCAAAUAAACAACUACGGUGAAGAAAUAGAAUGAAGAAAUACUAGAUGUUUAUCUUACAUGGAUGGAAUCUGAUACUUGUCUUCCAAGUUCCAACACUGAUGUGUUGUGGUUUGCACAAAUCUGUCAUUAUUGUGGACUAAGUUUUGUAGGCACAGAGUAAACAAUCCUAUUCAGGCCAAUGCAUUCUAAACCUAUGCACAGCAAGGUUAGGUAGGUAGACACAACAAUGUGAAAUUCAUCAGAUCAAACAUGAAUUUUUGUUAGAGAUGGUCCAGUAGAGUAACAAAAUCCUAUGUGUUCUAUUUGUGAUAAGUUUGAUGCUAUAAGUACAAUUGUCUCCAUUAUGACUUGUAUCUUACUUGUUCUUCACACACUUUUUAUUCAUGUUUUCACAUUAGUUUACUUGAUAAAUUUACAAGCUCACCAAUUUCAUCAAUAGUUAUUUAAUCACCUAUUGUGUUGUGACUUGAUUGUUUAGCCAAAUAUUUUAUUUUGUAGGUUUACUUGGAUGUAUUCUCAGUAGUUGUUCUUGUACUUGGUGGUGCGCUGGCAUGUUAUGGUAAGCAUAGCCUAUGUAUACUCAUCUAUACCAUACCAUAAUUAUGUCGCAAUAUUAGGCAUGAUGUUUUCUAGUCAAUUGUUUCAACCUAAGAUAAACUCUUAUUAUCUUGUUUCUAAUCCCUCGCAGUAGAUUAAAUAUUGAAUGAGUCUCACAGUCCUAUUUCACUUUAUAUCUAGUUUCACAUCCGCCUUACUAAAUAAUUUGACCUUCAUCUGCUACCAGUAAUCCUCUCAUUCAACAUGUUCUUGACUUGCCCUUUUCUUUUAUUUUUUAUGAUCAUUUAAAGGUGCAAUACUAUUUUCAAAGAUGAGCAAAGUGCGUUCUGAAACUGGAUCAUCUGAGAAGCGGAAGGUAUAACUCUUGCAGAAUCAUUCAAUUUGUGGAUUGCAUCUCUCUACUGCUUUAUCAUUUGCUGCAUGUAUUGUAUUUUGUAAAAUCAUGAGAAAGCAAACUAAUAAUGAUCGUAUACAAUAUUAAAUUAAUUGAAUAAAUGGUCAUAUAUUCAAAAGAUACAACUUUUGGUUUCAGUUCUGAUAAAUUCUAUACUUUAAGAUAUCAUUCCAAUAUGGUCAUAGUGCUUAUAAAACCAGAUGACAAAAAACAGGAUGCCCCUAUAUGCGUACUCCUGCUUCAAUAAUCUGUAUGAGCCCAGCUCUUCUGAGAAGUGAGCCCAUGUAUAAAGAGCACCUCACUUACACUUUUGUCCCCUUUUGUGUAAAAGGGUCAACUCAGAAGUGUUAUGAUUGCAAUGUACGGGUUUAUAUGCUGGCCCCAACUUAUGUAAACUCUCGAUGUGGGACUAGUUGCACUAACACCACACCAUGGGCCAAGCGGGGCUCUACUAUUGGCUGGAUACUGGAGUAUUUCAUAUAUAGUAGCAUAAAUUAUGAAAAAUAGUAUGUGUUUUUACGAGGACCAUUCAGUCUAUCCGAAUUUCUUCAAUCUUCAAGGAUAUAUUAUUUCGGAUCUGUAAUUCUCUAUAUCAAUGCUUGCUUCUCUGCAGGUUGCAAGUUUAGCUACUGUGUCACUGAUUUGUUUCUCGUCGUCCGCUAUACUAGCACUUGUUACCAAUGUUCCAGUAAGUCUGAUUUAUACAAUAAUAGCUGAGUAGCUGACAUAUCCACUAGCUGGUUCUUGAAUUGCUAAAUAUCAAUUUGCUAUACUUCUUGUUGCAGGUGCUUGUGUAUUGGUACUCAGCAGAUGAAUACAUCAUCAACAAUGCUAUCAUAUUGUUUAUGUACUAUUUCAUAGGUAUCUCUCCACCAUCUAUGGCUAGAAAUAACUCCUCUUAAAUUGAACGAUAACAUUUUAUUAAAUGUAGUUCAUGUUGCAAUGGGAAAAUAUGGUAGGAUGUGGUGUGCCAUCAGGCUUAUUAUGUGCACAUGCUUCGAAGCCUGAUGGUGAAUGCAUGUGAGCAUGCUCCAACAUGGAACCAUAUGUGGGAAUUAAUACAAUAAGUUAGUGAAAUGAGUAAGUGUGGUGGUAGGUGUGGAUAAAUUAUUUAUCCAACCUUUCAUUUCUCAUACCCCCAGGGUGAAGCUAGUCUAGAUCUAAUGAUUCUAUGUGUAGUACCAGAUUGAAAUACUCAAACUCUGCUAGUUGAUAUAUUGCAAUCAUGUCAGAACUUACAUUUCUUUUUGUUCUUAUAUUUAUGAUAUCCACUUUGAAGUUGGAUUCUUAGUUCUCCUUACCUGAUACUUAGUGAAUGUUGUGCAACUCAACUGUAGGGAGCAACACCAUCAAACUAGUGAAUGAUUUUAGAAAAAUAAUUAGUUGCAUGGUGUAUUUACGGCACACAUUGAACUGCAACAGUGGAAUUGCCUAGUCACAAAAAUUAACUCUUUACUAGGCAUCCAAUCAAUCAAAAUAAUUCUGGAAUCAGAAUGCAUGUUGUAUAAUAGUUUUUUCUGUUGAUAUUUUCUCAUGUUUAUUGCGAACAUAAUAUUCCAUUCUCAAGAAAGCACUUGGCAAGCCUCUUUUUUUUUUAGAGAGAGAGAUGGCACAACCACUUGUUAAUUUUACUUCGGAUACUCUUGCAGGAUCAUCCAUACCGUCAGGAUUUGUUCUAUGGGUCAUGAAAGAUAUUCCUCAUCGGCAGACAGUAGAAAGGCCCACACAAUCAAGAGUUGUUAUUUUGUUCAGGGAUAGACCAUCCCCUACACAGGAUCCACAAUGGAGGACUGCCGUUACAUCCUCUAACAAGGUACUUGCAGUAUUACGUUAUUCAAUUAAAAUUCAUAGGUUUCUACCUCUACAUACUUCUAAUAAACUGACUUUACUAAUCUAUCGAUGUAUAGGCCCUCAAGUCAAGCCCUAUUUAACCAGAAGACAAACCGUUGAUGUGGAAACUUCAGUCUGUUUAAUCUGCUAGAAUUUUACCAAUGCGUCAUUUGUGCACUGGCAUCUAGUAGCUUUCUGACAGGUUGUUGGUACAAAGAUGGAUAUGUAAUUCCUACUUCAAGGAAACUUUAGUGAUCAGAAAAGAAGGGAAUUACCUGUGAAUGUAGCAUGGUUCUCCAAUGAGUGCACAGUAUGCGUUUAUCCAUUAGAAUUAACUCUGGGUAAGGCUUUAAGGAUUAACAAAUGUAAAUAGCCAUAGAAAUGAGAGUUUUUCAUGGUUUGGCUGGCUGUUCAUUCAGAUUUUCCCCACCGUCACAUUAGCUUCCUCAACUCAUUUUAGUUAAUAGAACUGGCAAAGUAAGGUUUCAGCUUGUCUAUGAGGAGAUUUUGCCUUGAGAAGAUCUCUCCAUGUUGAUACUCUGUCUCGUUCUUAUCAUGCAUAAAAUGUUUCAAGGGCGUUCUGAUCCUAGCAGCUGGCAUGGCACGCUAUGCUGACUUCAACCUGUCAGCUUGCUACAUCAUUCAGUUGCUAAACAAAGUCGAUCGGUUGUUAGUUACUGCUCCACUUGAGAGCAAACUGCCAUUAUCAUCGGAAAGAUAUGCACGACUAAAUAAUCAAUAGUUGCUCGUGCUAUAGCAGUUUUAGCCGAGUUUAGAGCGCAAUUUUAGGCGGUGCGGUGCGGUGCGUUAGCGGCUUCGCACCUGCAAAUCGCGGUGGAAAGACGCAGCCAAAUCCAUCGGGAGGAACCUAAAAUCGAGGAUUUCAAGGGCAUUUUGUAGUGGCGCAGAUCGGCAGGAGCUUUGGACAACGUAUGCAAUUGGUACAGUCGGCAAACCCAACCCACAUGACUACAUGAGUAGUACAUGAUACCCCGGCACUUAAAACUCUUUUGAUCUUGGAGGUUGGCCCAAAAAUGGAUUAGAGAUGGGAUACCGGGAUAAUCUAAACAAAGAAGAAUAGUGUAGGCUAACUGUUUAGGUAAUCAUAAUAUCAUAUUCUUUUGCAGAUGGAUCAAAUUUCAUGAGAUAGGGUGUGAUUUGCUCAAAAGAUUAGUAUGCGUGGCUUCAGAACACAGUUUCUGGAUGAUCUCUCGUGGUGUGGGUAACUGGGUACAACCAACCACUAUCUCGUUUUGGAUUAGAGGACCACUACAUGAUCGUUAUAAACAAAUCUGAAGGAAUAAUUGCAUACAAUGUCUAGUGUAGAUUGGACGACGGUCCUAAUCAAGCUGCACAUAAAAAUUGUGCUGGUGAAAUGUUUCUUAUGGUCAACAAGACGGCUUGACGUCCUUAGAAUCUUUGAAAUGCAAUUUUAGUUAGGUACCCUGUUUAGGAAAUAUGCUGGCUCAUACUACCUCCGUUUUUUUUAAUAGAUGACGCCGUUGACCUUUUCUCACAUGUUUAACCAUUCGUCUUAUUUAAUUUUUUUUGCAAAUGUAUAAGAUAUAAAUCACACUUAAAGUACUAUGAGUGAUAAAAUAACUCAUAACAAAAUAAAUUAUAAUUACGUAAAUUUUUUGAAUAAGACGAAUGGUCAAACAUGUAACAUGUGAGAAAAAAUCAACGGAGUCAUCUAUUAAAAACGGAGAUAGUAAUACAUUUACAGUGGCUCAAACAUUUUUUUUUUAAAAAAGUACAAGAUGCACCUUGAAAAUCACAUUCGCUACUAUCCAUCACUAACAUUUUUCCUAACAUAUUCCCUCGAAUAUAAGAUACUAACAGUAAUUAAAUUAUAAUCCACUAACUACUCAUUCCACAACUGCACAAGGAUCACUCAUCCUCUUGUGUCUAAAAAUAGCACAAGCUCCCAUGCAUGUCCAUUCCAUCUCCAAAAGUAACCACCACAAAAACCCAUGAGCUCAUCUCACUCUACCACUUGUCUACUCCGCAGCCCAAUAACCACCAUUGUUUUCUCAUCUCGACAUGCUAACAGCCUAAUACUGCUAUUAUUCGUCUCGCUUCCCAUAUAACCACAGGUAUAACCGCCACGAGAGAGCUCUCUCCCACUUCUUCCUUCCUGCGCGCCUCUCCAAACCACCAUGGGAGCGGGCACCACCACCACAACCACCACAGAGCUAACCGCGGCGCGCCACCCCGCCGCCAACGUCGUCUCCGGCGGCUCAUCGGGCUGCCUGCCGUCCUCGUGGCCUUCUCUGUCCGGCGCCGGCGGCACGGGCAGGCGGCGCGGCUCCGCCGUGGUCCGGAGCCUGCAGCUCGUGGUGCGCGACGUCAGCCCCGCCGCGGGGUGGUGCGGCCACCGCGCGUGGCGGCGGCUGCUCCGGCGCCUGGCGCAGGAGACGAGGUGCAUCUGCAGCUCGUCGUCCCCGUCGGGCGCCGCCUCCUCCAGGCCCAUCACGUUCGGCUACGACGCCGCCAGCUACGCCAAGAACUUCGACGACGGCCGCCGCCCCGCCGCGCACUACGCCGCGCUCGCGCCCGCGCCCGCCGCCGGCGCCGCCAAUGCCGCCGCCCAUGAGCCGGCCGGCCGCUGACUCGAUCGCCUUCAAUGCCUGUUUGAUCUCGACCGGGUCUUGUGGUUGCUGAAUGCUGAGCGAUGUGCAUUCCUUUUUCUUCACCUUCUUCUUCUUUUUUUCCUUUUCUCUCUCUUUUAUUUUUGUUCUCUUCUCUCUUGCACUCCAUUGUCGAUGAUAUUGGUUGUUGCAGCAGUGACUUGACCAAUAGUCGGUACGUAAUUUUGUAAUCUGUACAUAGCAAGGAGAUAACAUAAGUGGAAUUUAGCCGAAUUUGCAUGAUUCACAUUUUUCAUGUUGUGAUUUAUCUGCGUGGCACCAAUGUGAUUCUUCUCGUCUUUUGAUAGGUCUCGAUCUGAGCUUAAAUAAGCCACUUGUUCUCCCUAUGCCUAUUAUCUUGUGAAAAAAAAAUACUCCAUUUGCGAUUGGAAUUGGAUUGUAAGAUAGACGAAUUUGACUGUUCUCGGUUCAUGGAUGAAUAAUUAUGAAUGACAGGUAGAGAUUUCAUUAUUGUUAUUCAGAUCAACAAGGCGUUAAGUGUUAGCAUUUGCCAUACAAAUAAUGAUAGCCAGAAAAGAAGGGAAAGAGAUCAGCUUUACUCAGGGAAAGAGAUCGUGCAAUGAUGUACUAUCGACGAACAAAAUGAGAGGCAAAAGAGGAAGGAGGACACUGACCAUUAGUAGGAGCAGCUUAAUCAGUAGUCAUGAUCCUGCAUUCCAGGCCAUUAUCUUUUAGACUAAACCACGGUACGCUGCUGCAUUUCUUAUCAGCUAUUAGUCCCUUAUUACAACUCAAUUGCCAAAUAAAGCGUUCUGGAUCAUUGGGUUUGUGUAUAGUUAAUGACCAGUACAGCCUGCAUUAGCUAUUUAGCUUUGUCCACGAGACAGGAACAUUGCUUCCUGCAAGAGCAAGGCCAUUCGGUACGUACACAUGUACCAAAGAUUGGGCUCCAUACCAAAAGCAAAGCAAAGUCUAUGCUAUGCACAACAACACAAACACAAGGCCCCGUUGCCAGAAAAGGCAGCAGCUUCCCUUGGGUGCUAGCUGCAGCCUGCAGGUUUCUGCUGCGCAUGCGAAGCUCACUGAAUUUUGUCACCUCCUAAUUACCAUCUGCAGCGUCAGAAAUCAGAAUCACCUUCUGAGUUUCUGACAAAGGAAAGAAGGCCACAAUGAGACGGAUCGGAUUUAUUAGAACUGAACUCACAUAGAAAUCGGUCUCGCGGUAAAAUAUUGUAGUAGUCUUGAUCAAUUGUUUUCUACUACCAGUAGCGACCACUGUAAAAGUUAUUUAUUAGCAUCGGGGUAUCCCUGAUUCCCUACUACUGCAUACUGAUAGAGAGUGCAUACGAGAGAGCUAGCAUUCCGUCGCCAUUGUCAGUCUGUCAUGUGGUUUCUGCAGUCUGCGGGGACGCAUGAAUCAUCAAUGGGAAGCAAACAACAUGCUUCCAUAUAAUUGAGGUCACUCGAUCGCUCAACUCAAGGCAUAGGCACUGCUCAACAAUGCGUUGUCAAGGAGGAGGCUGUAAAUUUUUGUGGUCCAAAGUGACCUCUUCACUGUCACCUCAAUAUAAAGAGCUGGUCGCCGUCAGAGGAUGCAUCCGCUGAACCUGAAUAAUGGAUGCUCACCGACGACUGCACUGCUGGACCGUUACCAAAAUGUGCAUCAGUAGAUGUCAUCAGAAGUACUACAAUCUAGCGACGAUGGCGAAGAGAAACUGUACAGCAAAUCGACCAGCUUACUAGAGGCUCGUCUCCAGCGUACAGAAGAGAUAGGCCCAAAACUAUUUUGGGCUGUUCCCGUACCGUACUGAGCUUAAAAGGGCGCGGCCGCUACAGUGUUCGGAGAUUUGGCCCUACGUAGAGCUUGGACGAUCGUUCUUAAUUACUUCUUCUUAGCCUUCGAAUUUCCACAUUUCCUCCCAUUUUUUUUUAUCUUGGUUUUGUUUGUCUCUUUCAAGGCAUUACUAAGUAUAAGAUGAAUAUUUAUUUUUCUCUGCAUCUUCAACUACGACUCCGUGGCCCAAUGGAUAAGGCGCUGGUCUACGGAACCAGAGAUUCUGGGUUCGAUCCCCAGCGGAGUCGUUUUGUUAUUUCAAUAUUAACCAUUUUAACCCUCGAUAUAAGCCUUAAUCGUUCUUUUGGUCGAGAUUCCGGUGGCGUUUUCAUUAUUUUGUCAUGAUGGAAAUGGAAAAGCUUCAGAACCACUCCCUACAAUUUUGGUGGCCUUCUUCAUCAUCUGCCAUGCUACAUUUCAUUCUGGAAAAAGCUUCAGAGCUGCACCCAACGAACAUCAGCUAAGCGAACCAUCGAAAGAUCAUGACAUGGAUGCUAAUUUGCCAUGCUACAUUCAUUCUGGAAAAGCUUCACAGUUGCACCCUACGAACAUCAGCCAAGUGCACCAUCAAAAGAUCAUAAUCAUAAACAUGGAUGCUAAUCGGUAUCCAGACAUACUAGUAUCCCUUAUAUCCCUUGUAACAAUUUAGAGUCUUGAAAACCUCUGACAGAAGAUGGAACAUGAAAAAUAUCAAUGUAUUUAUCAGCACAUGUCCGUUUAUUAUAUUUUACUGUAUAAUAGUUCACAGUCACAACCAUGAUGAAACAUAUCAAGUUAAUAGAGGCAGAAACUGAUUAGAAAGAGUAUUUCUAACGCCAGUUGAAACAGCGAUCUCAGCAGUUUCUACUACUUUGCAGGGGGUGACGGUGCAGUUGCUGUGUAGAGGGACUUCAACUGCCUGUAUAUAAGCUUGCUGUCAUACACUGCUAGCUGCAGCUCCAUGCCAUCCGACCACCAUUGCUCCAGCCCAUGCGCUUCAAGAAACUUCUGUGGGCCUUUCGAUGUCACAAAAAGCUUCGCGACCACAUCACCAGCGAUCUCACUUGCCUUUCGUUGCUGCUGCUGCUCAUCUGAAGCACCAUCAGUGGUGGUAGUGGUGGUGGUGGUGGAGCAAUUAGGGGCAUUGUAGUGACAGCAGAUGUAGUCACUGUUGUUUACAUAUAAAUGUGGCACCCAUUUCUUGUCAGCACGCAAUUUCUUCUUUGCACUUCCCUCCUCUUUGGUACUGUCAGGUAAUGCUUCUUCAGUCAGUGGUAGACUAGCCUUAACUUUUUUCCACAGGUAGCUGGCCUUCUCACUCAUACUCCUUACACCCAUGGCAAGUGAAACAGAAGGUGGAUUGAACAGAUGACACUCCACGAAGACUCCUUGCUUAGCGAGCUCUUUGCAAACCUGAAGAGCAAAUCCAGCUCCCAAGGAGUGCCCAGCAACACUGACAUUAGCGCUACCAAACCUCUCAACUGCUGUCUUCAGUGCUUCUAAAGCGCCAAUAUAUCUGACUGAUCCUUUUAAGCUCUCCCACACCAGGAAGCGAAGAUCAUCUUGUAGGUCUCUCUUGAUGGUGGGCUUCUGAAGCAGUGUUCCUCGGAGAGCUAACACAGCCCUUGGCGCGCCACUUGGUCUUAUGAGGAUAAGGUCAGACAAAGCAGAAGAACGAUCCCACUCAAGGACGGCACCAUAGAUGGAACCAUCUCUCUCAUCGACCAAUGUCUGUGUGACCUUGUAUUUGAAGGGCUUCCACCAUUUUGGAGCAAGGCCAUCCUCUUCUCCUUUCUCAUCUUGCCUGUCCAGUUCAAGCAGGUAGACUGCUUGAAUGAAGCAGGCCAUUACCAUCCUUUUGUAAUUGGGAUCCUUCCUGCAAUCAAUUUAAAGCAACAUUGAUGGCAUUAGAACUAAAGGUAGCAGAUACAAAUUAACAAGUGUGAUACACUGAAGUAAACCUGGUUACGCAUACAAAGCAUAUACUGCAUUACCAGAAGUUCUUGUAUGUAUGAGGUCAAAUCGAAAUAUAUUUGAUGUCAUAACUAACUGACAAACUUUGACAAAAGAAACCAAAUAGCUCAUAUUAUUAUUAUUUCUUUUUUUUUUGGUAUGGUAAUGCACCUCCUGUCCGCUAAAAUUAUCAGAUUUGCAUGUUCCAUUUUCACCAAAAGUCGUGAAAAGCUUUCAUCCGCUUAUGAAAUUACGUUAUUAAUAGGAAUACUGGUGUAUGCUUGCCACAGAUUGGAAUUUACUAAGACCUGACAUCCUAAGCACUUAUAAUGUUCAGAACGAAACGUGCAAUUCUGUGAAUAUUUCUUUUUCGGAAUACCAAUUCUGUGACCCAUUCCCGCCCAUGCUUUAGAGACUACGUCCAAGUACUAUAGCACGAAGCAAGGGAACUGUAGUGAUAACUCUAGUUCAACCAGUAGAGUUUGUACCGUCCAAUUGAAAUGGUAUAGCCUAAAAACUAGAGCAAUAGAGUGUAGAACUGUAUAAUUGAUUAUUAUUGAAGGUCAUAAAAACAAGGGGCGAGAAUUAGAAAGGCACCUCUUCAACAAAAGUAAGUCCAUACAUAUCCCAUAGGAAAGUACCACCCACAGGACCUUGGUUUCAAUCACUGAUUAUCUGCUACUUCACUUUCUUGUUUAAGAAGAAUACUCAAUCCGUAAGAAAAGGUAGGUGCAUUUCCAUACCCAUGCCUCACGAAACAGUGUAUGGAAGGAAGGGCAAAACUCUGGGUAUGGUAGUCUGUAACCUGACUUGUAGGUUAUUACUUGUAGGCGCGCAAGCGCAACACUAACCAACUAAACACAAAGCUGACACGCCGAAUCGCAGGAUCAUCAGAAAAGACAUUGAAAAAAAGUUUAAAUGUUGUGCAGACAUUUGUGAGGUGAUCGAUUGGAGAUUUUAAUCUUAAUGCAUGCUAUACCCUUGCGCCAGUGCAGAUUGCAACAAAAUCCUGAAAAUAGCAGUAAAUUCGGUUCCUUGUUUACAAUCCAACAAAGCUAUCGCCUUUCAUCUAGCAUAUUCCCUCCCCUUCCAAUCCUGGGAGCCGGGUGCAACCGGACGGCAAUCCCCUCCCUAAAACAUAGUCCCUUUUCCGAUCAAUCAGAAGAGGCAACAAACCAAGGGUGCCCGCGGCGUAAACGAUCCCCACAGAUUCACGCCCAUGACGACCAUAUCUGAUAUCUCCAUAACGCCAAAAUGCAUAUAUCAAACUAAUUAACUAAGAUUUCGCAAGGAAACAUGGAGAGAGUAACCGGAAACCAACCAGCUCGAACGGAUGAUCUCCCUCCAGUUGGGCGGCGGCAGGUUCCGCGGCCCGGACACGUGGAAGUCGUAGGGGUGGCCCUCCACCUCCGCGUCCGCCGCGGCCACCACCACGGCCUCCCCGCCGCACACCCCGCCCUCCUCCCCCUCCCCCUCCUCUUUCUUCCCUCCAACCGCCGCCCCCGCGACCUCCAACUCCCCAGCCAGCGGCGCCAGGUCGAUCGCCAUGGCCCGCGCGUGCGCGAGGGGAACGGGAGCGGCGUGCGCGCGUGCGCGGAGCGGGCGAGGCGGCAACGGUCGAAUCGGCGCGACAGAAUGUUGUGGGGACGGAGGAGGGGGAGGAGGAUUUGGCAGCACGCGAACGC
RNAcentral lists this long non-coding RNA (35619 nucleotides) under Oryza sativa (Asian cultivated rice). RNAcentral describes it as "long non-coding RNA (OSAT_LNC001463)". The stretch from base 2592 to 2793 matches the Rfam family "MIR812 microRNA precursor family". Lineage: Eukaryota; Viridiplantae; Streptophyta; Magnoliopsida; Poales; Poaceae. The record is from RNAcentral.